AUGGCUGGGCUGCAGAGGUCUUCACUGACAUUCAGGAGGUCAGGAUCAUCAGGCAUGGUCUGGGGCGAGAGGCUCAUGUCGGAUGAACAUAGCCAGUGGACCUCAGGGGAACCAGAGUUCAGGGAGCUACGGCACUCCCGCAGCGUUGGGUCUGUCGGGGCGCAGCGCAGGCGCAACGAUGGCACCGAGCGAGGCAGCCAGGCGUUCCGGACACGGCGCGUAGCCCCGGCCAUGGAUCCACCGUCGCCCAAGGUUCCUGGCUGCAUCUUCUGUGGGAUUUUCAGGAAGACAGCACCUUCACAGCCAUCUAAGGCCAGAAGGUACCACUAG
Molecule: ribosomal RNA, 330 nt
Filed under: Triticum aestivum (bread wheat)
Lineage: Eukaryota; Viridiplantae; Streptophyta; Magnoliopsida; Poales; Poaceae
Description: partial small subunit ribosomal RNA
Source: RNAcentral